AUAAUGAACCAAAUCAUACUUAUUUCUCUGAACCUUUUAUGGAUAAGUUUUGACAAGUUUAGGCUUUCAAUGUCAUUUUUGUGUUAUUUGAUUCAAGUGGGUGUUAGGGACCAGAUGUGAAACUAGAAAAAACUGAAGAAUUUCCAUUGACAGAGGUUGCAAGUUCUGGUCAAAGCCAAUCCGGAUUACAUGUAUCAUUUUCGUUGGCCUUUGAGACCAUUCCUAAUAAACUUGAAGCCCAGAGUUCAUAUCUAAGCAGGAUAACAGCUAAGUUGAGGGAAAUAAAGAAAAGUUAUAACGCUACAAUUUCAGAUCCAGGUUCAAUAACGCAUCGUGUGGACAUGCAAUCAUAGAUAUUUUGAGGUUCAAUUUUAAGGGAGCAUGGCACUCUUGGGAAAAAGUAGAUUUAAUGUGUAGAGAUGAACUCUUUAAAUAGUUUAAGGUAUCAACAAACACUACUUGUCGUAUUCUUUUCAAUUUUAAUCACUUAUAGUAUUAUGAAAAUUAUCAACUGAGGUAUUCUUUUGUUUAA
This is a long non-coding RNA of Populus trichocarpa (black cottonwood), 532 nucleotides long. RefSeq lists it as uncharacterized. The record is from RefSeq and is a predicted model, not a curated record. The transcript is spliced from 3 exons. Lineage: Eukaryota; Viridiplantae; Streptophyta; Magnoliopsida; Malpighiales; Salicaceae.